CAAACUGAAGAUGGCGACCGGCGCACGGGUGAGUAACACGUAUCCAACCUGCCCUUUACUCGGGGAUAGCCUUUCGAAAGAAAGAUUAAUACCCGAUAGCAUAAUGAUUCCGCAUGGUUUCAUUAUUAAAGGAUUCCGGUAAAGGAUGGGGAUGCGUUCCAUUAGGCAGUUGGCGGGGUAACGGCCCACCAAACCGACGAUGGAUAGGGGUUCUGAGAGGAAGGUCCCCCACAUUGGUACUGAGACACGGACCAA
RNAcentral lists this ribosomal RNA (255 nucleotides) under uncultured bacterium. Its description in RNAcentral is "partial 16S ribosomal RNA". It matches the Rfam family "Bacterial small subunit ribosomal RNA", at positions 77 to 334 of the family's 1533-position model. The record is from RNAcentral.